CGCCCCUCGCUACGCUUCCAUCGCCCGCCGCCUCCUCGCCGUUGCCCGGAGCUGCCCCACCGCCGCCCGUCCGCCCGGAGCCCGGGGCGUGAGCCGGCAACCCGGUCCGACAAGCCACCAUCUCCCGGAGCCGCCCCACCGUCGCCCGGAGCCCAUGUGUCUUCGAGAUUGAUUUGGAGGAACAUCGAGAAACUGAAAGGGACUGCUUCGAUGGUUCAUGUGUUCUGUUAGUCAUAUCCUUUUUGGUUUGCACUCCCCUGUUCAUCUAGUUUGAUAUUCAAAUUGUUAAGUUAUACAAAUUGACAGUGAUAAUGGUGUAGCGGUAAUUUUUUUUCCUAAUGCUGUUACAUGCAAAAAGGUGUCAUGGAAAAUUCUUCUUAUAUUUUCUUUUUCUCCAACCCGUGAAAUAGGAAAAUUGCAUGUACGAUGUUGGCAAGGCCUAUUCUCUAAGUGCUUUAUCCUCAUCUUCUCUCUAUUAUUAGGAUGGUAAACAUGAGUUUCUUCCCCGGAGCAUGAAUCAAAUUUAGUUCCCUAGCCCCAACUAAUAUCGACUGGACAUUGUGGUCCUUUAAAGUUUCAUUGCAACUAGUGCAAAUUUAAUUCACUUUCAAGUUUCAACCGAUGAUUUGCUGCUGCUGCUGCUGCUAUUUAUUGUCAUCCUUUCCAAUUUAAACUGCGCUACUGCUGUGAUUAAUUACUUGGUUGAUGUAUUGAACAGCACACCAAACUGAUUUGCUACUUUGAUGGUUUAUGAUCUGAAGCCUCCUUUCUUCCUCAGGAUUAAGAGGGACUAAGAUUUAAGAGGUUAAAAAGUAUACGUUCUCUUACAAUUUAGUUUUAUUUCAGUUAUCAAAUAGUGUUCAGACUUUUUUUUGAUAAGCAUAGUCCUUUUGAUAAACAGAUACAUGAUUAGUGACCACAGGUAGCUUGGAGAAACAUUUGCUGACCAUUCAUCAGUUUGGAGAAUUAUAUUCUAGCUCUUCAUUUGUCAAUUGCUGGUUUGCUCUCGGACUGAGUUAUGUAGUACCCAGGCCUGAAAUAUAAAGUUAUCAGGGGUGGUUGACAUAUGGUGAUCCCCGGUCGAUGAUACCCGGAGGUAGUGAAUCAGCUGAUGCAUUCAAGUUGUGAUGGAGUAAGUACCAGAGAAUCUUACCCCUAAUAUCAUCAAAGUCAGAGUCACAGAACUCAAGUUGACGAGUAUCUGGAUUAUAGUGCUUCAUGAACAUCAUCACAAAGAACCCGCAGUCCAUACUGCUGGGUUCCUGCUGAGCGAUAUAUUUAGCAGGUAUAAUUGGCAUGCUCCAAUCUGAGAAGUUGGGGUGUUCCUUGGAGAUCAACGAAAUAACAUUACUCAGCUUUUUCCUCAUACAAACUGCGAUCUUUUGGUGAUAUUUUUGCUUGUCAUUGACCGUCGAGGUCCAGGAGUCCAAUAUAUCGAUUUGUUCAUAAUUUUUGUUGAUAACAUAAACUGUCAAGUGCAACUUAUAGCAGACGGGCACAAAUAUCUAUGUAAAAAAUAACCAUGAUACUAUGUAAGAAUUCAAAUUGGAUGGUAUCAAGGAAUUGGUUAAUCUCGAUCACA
Panicum virgatum (switchgrass) is the source of this 1582-nucleotide long non-coding RNA. RefSeq lists it as uncharacterized. The record is from RefSeq and is a predicted model, not a curated record. Lineage: Eukaryota; Viridiplantae; Streptophyta; Magnoliopsida; Poales; Poaceae. The transcript has 4 exons.